GACGAACGCUGGCGGCGUGCUUAACACAUGCAAGUCGAACGGUAAGGCCUUGUUUUUGUGGCGUGUUCGAGUGGCGAACAGGUGUGUAACACGUGAGUAACCUGCCCUUUACUUUGGGAUAACUCCUGUAAACUCGGGCUCUUAUCCGAUAUAACCUCCUUCUGCAUGGUGGUUGUUGUUAAGUUUUGGCGGUUGGGCACGGACUCGCGGUUUAUCAUCUUGUUGGUGGGGUAGUGGCUUACCAAGGCUUUGACGGGUUGCCGGCCUGAGAGGGUGACCGGCCACAUUGGGACUGAGAUGCGGGCCAGACUCCUACGGGAGGCAGCAGUGGGGAAUAUUGCAAAAAGGGCGGAAGCAUGAAGCAGCAACGCCGCGUGCGAGAUGACGGCCGUCGGGUUGUAAACCGCUUUCGCCUGUGACGAAGAGUGAGUGACGGUAAUGGGUAAAAAAGCAACGGCUAACUACGUG
RNAcentral lists this ribosomal RNA (468 nucleotides) under uncultured bacterium. RNAcentral describes it as "partial 16S ribosomal RNA". It matches the Rfam family "Bacterial small subunit ribosomal RNA", at positions 28 to 507 of the family's 1533-position model. The record is from RNAcentral.